UGAAGCUGGAGCCCUGCGUCA
RNAcentral lists this unclassified non-coding RNA (21 nucleotides) under Mus musculus (house mouse). RNAcentral describes it as "oocyte_clustered_small_RNA11843". The record is from RNAcentral. Lineage: Eukaryota; Metazoa; Chordata; Mammalia; Rodentia; Muridae.